GCCUGGCAGUGUGAUUGCAGACUUUCAAAUUGCAACCUCAAGCAAAACACUUAAUUUUAGUAAAGCAAACGAAAACCUAGCCUCUACUCUCACUGAUCAAAAGAUAUUAGUGAGUGCUGAUUCCUUUGCUGAGACUGGUAAGUUCACAGUUCAAUUAUUAAAUGUAAACCCAGUACUGAGUUAGAUUUUCCUAUACUGUGGUGUAACAUUUAAAAAAAAAAUAAGAAUAUAAAUAAUAAAUAAUAUAAAUAAUAAUUUACACUGUUGUCUGAAAAGUGCAUUGCAGUUAUAUACACAACACUAUGGUGAUGAUGUGUUCUUUCUUAGUGCAGAGUUUAAUAUGGUGAUGGAUUUUGGAUAAAAAUUGUUUAUUAAUCUUGUAGUCUGUCCUCAUAUGGUCCUGUAUCUCUUCCCUGAGGAUCAUUAUGUCGGCGUGUGCAUAUGCUCUUGCUGAGCCCCCCCAUGGCAAUGUUGCACUCUUCUCUCUUCUGUAAUUUACCUAUUACUGAGCGUCAUGUAAACAGUAAAUACAGCCAACAAGAGCUGACACUUGUCAGUUCUGUGGACACUUGGUGUGUUUUUGAUAAGGAUCAGAUGUAUGCCCUUAAUCUUGAGUAAGAUGUACUAGUACUGAAAAUGUAUUACACAAAGUUAAUGGAAUGUAUGUCUUUUUAUUUUUAGUGGAUAAUGGUAUAUACAAAGAGCGAAUAUAUCCUGGAAAAAAUAUGAAUUUGACCUGUAAUACUCCAGACCCAAGUAUUACGGAAAUAACCUGGAGUAAGAAUGGCCAAAACAUCAAAGUCGAUGGUGUUAAAUAUCAAAUAAAAGAUAAAAACCUCACUGUGACAAACACCAAUGAUAAUGACAAUGGAAAAUAUGCCUGCAAAGUGACCUUUAACUCAAUUCCAUACAUAAACUUCCAAACCAGGUCUAUUGAGCCAGCUCCUAGACUGACAACUACUGAUUCAAUAAUUCUGAAAUGUACUGACACACCAAUCAACCUGAAGUGCUGUGCUCACAGCAGCUAUAAUGUUCUGUGGAGCCCAAAGCCUGCAAAUGAGCAGUUGGUUACAGGUCAAACACUCACACUACACAUACAUGUUCCCUGUUCAAAUAGAUAUUCAGUUAAAUAGACAAUUAACAAAGGCAACUAUUAACCAGCUACUGUACCAGCUAUAAACAUGCCUUCUUGUAUUGUUCAAUGGGGCUAAUUUACACUCUGGAGCAAGAUUCUCUGUCUGUUAAUCUAUAUUAUUAGCAGGAGGACUGUUAGAAACAAGCCAUUAGAAAUGAUUGGGUAUUGCAGUGAGAGAACACUGAUUCACAAAAACAUAAUACUAAAUAAAUGUCAAACAUGCUGCA
Molecule: long non-coding RNA, 1362 nt
Filed under: Astyanax mexicanus (Mexican tetra)
Lineage: Eukaryota; Metazoa; Chordata; Actinopteri; Characiformes; Acestrorhamphidae
Description: lncRNA (ENSAMXG00005002160.1)
Source: RNAcentral